UUUGACAUAGGCUGAUAAUAUUCU
Molecule: non-coding RNA, 24 nt
Filed under: Cricetulus griseus (Chinese hamster)
Lineage: Eukaryota; Metazoa; Chordata; Mammalia; Rodentia; Cricetidae
Source: RNAcentral